ACGGAGGGCGCAAGCGUUGUUCGGAAUUACUGGGCGUAAAGCGCGGGCAGGCGGUCUGUUAAGUCGUUUGUGAAAACCCGGGGCUCAACCCCGGGAAUGCAUACGAUACUGGCAGGCUGGAGACUGGUAGAGGCUAGCGGAAUUCCUGGUGUAGCGGUGGAAUGCGUAGAUAUCAGGAAGAACACCUGUGGCGAAGGCGGCUAGCUGGGCCAGUUCUGACGCUCAUCCGCGAAAGCGUGGGGAGCAAACAGGA
RNAcentral lists this ribosomal RNA (253 nucleotides) under uncultured prokaryote. Its description in RNAcentral is "partial 16S ribosomal RNA". It matches the Rfam family "Bacterial small subunit ribosomal RNA", at positions 525 to 777 of the family's 1533-position model. The record is from RNAcentral.